RNAcentral lists this ribosomal RNA (497 nucleotides) under uncultured bacterium. RNAcentral's name for it is "partial 16S ribosomal RNA". It matches the Rfam family "Bacterial small subunit ribosomal RNA", at positions 28 to 507 of the family's 1533-position model. The record is from RNAcentral.
GAUGAACGCUGGCGGCGUGCCUAAUACAUGCAAGUCGAGCGAACGGACGAGAAGCUUGCUUCUCUGAUGUUAGCGGCGGACGGGUGAGUAACACGUGGAUAACCUACCUAUAAGACUGGGAUAACUUCGGGAAACCGUAGCUAAUACCGGAUAAUAUUUUGAACCGCAUGGUUCAAAAGUGAAAGACGGUCUUGCUGUCACUUAUAGAUGGAUCCGCGCUGCAUUAGCUAGUUGGUAAGGUAACGGCUUACCAAGGCAACGAUGCAUAGCCGACCUGAGAGGGUGAUCGCCCACACUGGAACUGAAACACGAUCCAGACUCCUACGGGAGGCAGCAGUAGGGAAUCUUCCGCAAUGGGCGAAAGCCUGACGGAGCAACGCCGCGUGAGUGAUGAAGGUCUUCGGAUCGUAAAACUCUGUUAUUAGGGAAGAACAUAUGUGUAAGUAACUGUGCACAUCUUGACGGUACCUAAUCAGAAAGCCACGGCUAACUACGUG